GGCAGAUGGGACAAAUGGGAAAGGAUCUGUUUUCAAUGUGUGUGUCCAGCCACCACCAACAGGCCAGUCCCACCAACAGUGUCAUUUCAUCCCUCUUGGAUGGUCUCUCUCCCAUCUAGACCCAGCAUGUCAGGAACCUUGUCCUUGAAGUGCUCAAUGGGUUGAACAAAUGAAUCAUGACUGACGACCAGAGUGCUGGAAGCCAGCAAUAAAAGUAAAAGGGCACCGAGCUCUGUGUGGCACCAUUCCCAAGAGCGCUGAGGGAUGGAACCCUGCCUGCUCUGCCACCCUAUUGGAAAAGGCUACGGGAACAGUGUGGGACCAGCCAAGAGUUCACUUCCCACCUACAUCUUCGUGGGAUUCUCAACUUUCCCUAGGAAGAGAAUGGAUUCUGUGCUUCUGUCCGAGAGCAGUAUCAGGAAGGGCUGGUUGAAGGAGAUGACAGAGGAAGGACUGUCCUUUGAGCGGACUAUAAGCUUGGUGGUGGUGGCCGCCGCUGCUUCUGUCCCCUCCUCACUGACGUCCAGUACAGCCUUGGCUGGGGGUUCAGCCUGCGACCAAUGGCCAAGCUGCGGGAUGGGCUGGGAACCACCUGCGAGGACAGGCAUCCAUUUCCCCAGUUUCUCACAGAUAUAAAAGCACAAGACAUUGGAGAGAUAUCCCAGUCUUCAUCUGUCAAGCCUCCUUGACCCUAGUACCACAGAUGAUGUCUGUACUCUCUGGGUCUGUUCUAUCUUCCUUCAGCCUCCCCCAUACCAUGUCUUCUUCCUUCACCUAGCCCUGGUGCAGCGAGAGAAGAGAGGAAACUCUGAAAGCAUCUCUUGAUUCUUCCCCUUCCAUCUUUGUCAGUCAUGUUACCGCCAUCAGAAAUGCCCACCCUUGGUCUCUGUGUGCCCAUGGCCCAUCUGAGGCAAGCAUAGAGAACAGCUUAGUGACGUGGGACUCCACUGACCUGGGCUAUGCACACAAUCCUCUCCAAACAAUGUACCUAGCAACCUAUUGGCCACCUACUAUCCCUGACCGGCAGGGAGCUGCACAUACACCUGCUUUAAUCAAUGGAAUAAUUUACUUCCCUUAAGAACUCCUUGAUAAUAUGUCCCAGAGCACAAUCAGGAACUAUGGUCAAUGGGCCCGUUUAGCCUAGACUGGUUUUGGAUGCAUAUAAAUAAAACAAAAAUCUGUGAACUUUUAAGGUGAGCUCCGUAUUUAGCAACUUAUGUCUGUGCACAAUUAGGUAUGCAUAUGAUUAAAAUGAGAAUCAUUGUAAAGAAGAGAUAUGAGCAACAAA
This is a non-coding RNA of Myodes glareolus (Bank vole), 1288 nucleotides long. Lineage: Eukaryota; Metazoa; Chordata; Mammalia; Rodentia; Cricetidae. The record is from RefSeq and is a predicted model, not a curated record.